Molecule: long non-coding RNA, 928 nt
Organism: Halichondria panicea
Lineage: Eukaryota; Metazoa; Porifera; Demospongiae; Suberitida; Halichondriidae
Exons: 3
Source: RefSeq, a predicted model, not a curated record
CCCCUCUAGCUUAGCCACACCCCUCCAACCAUGUGUGAAGUAAACAAGAGAAGCUAAGAAGGACAACAUGUCGUGUGGAAGUGACUGUCUUUCGUUACUGUUAAUAUUUCUUGAAUCUCUACCAGUGUUUUCAACACAAACAACACCUACUCCUCAAGCUGUAGUAUGCUGCACAGUUGGUGAUGAUACAGGAUGGAGGACCAACGAUUGCUGUGAUGACUUGUGUAUUGCAGAACGUGGAUUAGAUUAUACCUAUCAAACGAACUAGUUACAAAUUACUACUGUUUGAACAAGAACCUCAACCCUCACUGGAGAGAAUCUUGCAGUGGACUAAAUGAUACAAAUACGACUGUCAUACAAUGCUGUAGUGAAGCUAACUGCAACACUCAACUAUUCCCUCGCCUACCCAGUGAACCCACAGUACCAACAACCUACCCUCCAUACAGACCCAUCACUGAGGCCACUACAAACGAACCAACAGCAACGAGUUCACCUACCGUCUCCACGCCAACAACAGCAGCGACUAGCACUGGAUCUAUAACGCAGCAGACUUCACCAGACACAAGUGCAGGCCCAGACAAUUCGGCUAAUCCUCUCAACUUUACGCUCGUGCUAUUGAUGAUUUUCGGAAUUCUCACUGUGUUGUUACUGGUGUGCACAAUUGGAUUCGUUGUAUUCAUUUUGUGGAAAUGUUGGAAUAAAAUGAAUACCAUCAUCAUCACUCGCUACAAAAACCCUUACCCUGAGUCAGUAAGUGAUAUGUCAUCAUCAUCGGGUUCUAGUGCAGCAUAUUUUGACACAAGCACUGACAUUAAAAUAAAUACUUUGGAAUAGCUCUUAAAAAUGUGUUCACAUGUUAUGUUCCUUGUUGUUCUGUCAACAGUUUUUUUUAUGAAUGUACAAUAAUCAUUAUCUCUAUUAUCUCUUG